RNAcentral lists this small nuclear RNA (107 nucleotides) under Catagonus wagneri (Chacoan peccary). Lineage: Eukaryota; Metazoa; Chordata; Mammalia; Artiodactyla; Tayassuidae. The record is from RNAcentral.
GUGCUCGCUUUGGCAGCGCAUAUACUAAAAUUGGAACGAUAUAGAGCAGAUUAGCAAGGCCUCUGCACAAGGAUGACACAGAAAUUCGUGAAGCGUUCCAUAUUUUU